RNAcentral lists this ribosomal RNA (253 nucleotides) under uncultured bacterium. RNAcentral describes it as "partial 16S ribosomal RNA". It matches the Rfam family "Bacterial small subunit ribosomal RNA", at positions 524 to 776 of the family's 1533-position model. The record is from RNAcentral.
UACGUAUGGGGCAAGCGUUAUCCGGAUUUACUGGGUGUAAAGGGAGCGUAGGCGGCCUGGCAAGCCUGAUGUGAAAUACCGGGGCCCAACCCCGGGGCUGCAUUGGGAACUGCCAGGCUGGAGUGCCGGAGAGGCAGGCGGAAUUCCUAGUGUAGCGGUGAAAUGCGUAGAUAUUAGGAGGAACACCAGUGGCGAAGGCGGCCUGCUGGACCGUGACUGACGUUGAGGCUCGAAAGCGUGGGGAGCAAACAGG